GACGAACGCUGGCGGCGUGCCUAAUACAUGCAAGUCGUACGCUUCUUUUUCCACCGGAGCUUGCUCCACCGGAAAAAGAAGAGUGGCGAACGGGUGAGUAACACGUGGGUAACCUGCCCAUCAGAAGGGGAUAACACUUGGAAACAGGUGCUAAUACCGUAUAACAAUCGAAACCGCAUGGUUUUGAUUUGAAAGGCGCUUUCGGGUGUCGCUGAUGGAUGGACCCGCGGUGCAUUAGCUAGUUGGUGAGGUAACGGCUCACCAAGGCCACGAUGCAUAGCCGACCUGAGAGGGUGAUCGGCCACAUUGGGACUGAGACACGGCCCAAACUCCUACGGGAGGCAGCAGUAGGGAAUCUUCGGCAAUGGACGAAAGUCUGACCGAGCAACGCCGCGUGAGUGAAGAAGGUUUUCGGAUCGUAAAACUCUGUUGUUAGAGAAGAACAAGGAUGAGAGUAACUGUUCAUCCCUUGACGGUAUCUAACCAGAAAGCCACGGCUAACUACGUGCCAGCAGCCGCGGUAAUACGUAGGUGGCAAGCGUUGUCCGGAUUUAUUGGGCGUAAAGCGAGCGCAGGCGGUUUCUUAAGUCUGAUGUGAAAGCCCCCGGCUCAACCGGGGAGGGUCAUUGGAAACUGGGAGACUUGAGUGCAGAAGAGGAGAGUGGAAUUCCAUGUGUAGCGGUGAAAUGCGUAGAUAUAUGGAGGAACACCAGUGGCGAAGGCGGCUCUCUGGUCUGUAACUGACGCUGAGGCUCGAAAGCGUGGGGAGCAAACAGGAUUAGAUACCCUGGUAGUCCACGCCGUAAACGAUGAGUGCUAAGUGUUGGAGGGUUUCCGCCCUUCAGUGCUGCAGCUAACGCAUUAAGCACUCCGCCUGGGGAGUACGACCGCAAGGUUGAAACUCAAAGGAAUUGACGGGGGCCCGCACAAGCGGUGGAGCAUGUGGUUUAAUUCGAAGCAACGCGAAGAACCUUACCAGGUCUUGACAUCCUUUGACCACUCUAGAGAUAGAGCUUCCCCUUCGGGGGCAAAGUGACAGGUGGUGCAUGGUUGUCGUCAGCUCGUGUCGUGAGAUGUUGGGUUAAGUCCCGCAACGAGCGCAACCCUUAUUGUUAGUUGCCAUCAUUCAGUUGGGCACUCUAGCAAGACUGCCGGUGACAAACCGGAGGAAGGUGGGGAUGACGUCAAAUCAUCAUGCCCCUUAUGACCUGGGCUACACACGUGCUACAAUGGGAAGUACAACGAGUCGCGAAGUCGCGAGGCUAAGCUAAUCUCUUAAAGCUUCUCUCAGUUCGGAUUGUAGGCUGCAACUCGCCUACAUGAAGCCGGAAUCGCUAGUAAUCGCGGAUCAGCACGCCGCGGUGAAUACGUUCCCGGGCCUUGUACACACCGCCCGUCACACCACGAGAGUUUGUAACACCCGAAGUCGGUGAGGUAACCUUUUGGAGCCAGCCGCCUAAGGUGGGAUAGAUGAUUGGGGUG
This 1482-nucleotide ribosomal RNA is filed under the name Enterococcus durans. RNAcentral describes it as "bacterial SSU rRNA". It matches the Rfam family "Bacterial small subunit ribosomal RNA". Lineage: Bacteria; Bacillati; Bacillota; Bacilli; Lactobacillales; Enterococcaceae. The record is from RNAcentral.